Sarcophilus harrisii (Tasmanian devil) is the source of this 102-nucleotide small nuclear RNA. NCBI's taxonomy places the organism in Eukaryota, Metazoa, Chordata, Mammalia, Dasyuromorphia, Dasyuridae. The record is from Ensembl.
GUGUGAAGGCAGCACAAACACUACAAUUGGAAUGGUACAGAGAAAAUUAUCAUGGCCCUAUACAAAAAUUACAUACAAAUUUAUGAAGUGUUCUUUUUUUUU